GCCUUAGUAGUAUAAUAAGUACUUCUGGUUUGCAUCUAGAAAGUGACUCCUUAGUCUUAGGGCU
RNAcentral lists this transfer RNA (64 nucleotides) under Hydroides norvegica. Its description in RNAcentral is "tRNA-Ala". Lineage: Eukaryota; Metazoa; Annelida; Polychaeta; Sabellida; Serpulidae. The record is from RNAcentral.